CGGUGCAGUUCAUUGCACCUGUAGAAAUGGACACAAUGGUUUCCUUGGCUCUGUUUAUUUGGAUGGUAAUGCUCCUUUUACAAGACUCGAGCUGUCAGAUUGUUCUGACUCAGUCUCCAUCAGCCCAGUCUGUGAGUUUAGGACAAAGAGUAUCCAUCAACUGUAAGGCGUCUAGCUCUAUUAGCGAUGAUGUGCAGUGGUACCUUCAGAAACCUGGCCAGGCUCCACAGGUCCUAAUAUGGGAGGGUACUAACCGGCAGUCAGGGAUUCCAGAAAGGUUCAGUGGCCAGUACUCUGGGACCAGCUUCACCCUAACAAUCAGUUUCUUCCAGCCUGAAGAUGCAGGACAUUAUUACUGUCAGCAGGACUAUAAUUAUCCUUUCACACAGUGAUAGAGAGUCGUACAAAAACCUGCUCA
Erpetoichthys calabaricus (reedfish) is the source of this 418-nucleotide non-coding RNA. NCBI's taxonomy places the organism in Eukaryota, Metazoa, Chordata, Cladistia, Polypteriformes, Polypteridae. The record is from the annotation of a RefSeq genome assembly.